CCUUGUUUUAAUACCGCGGUAUCAAAUUAUAAGGCAAACCAACAAGAAAUGCAUGUACACAAGCAGAAAAUUUCUCCUUUUUUUAAUUCAAUUUUCUUUAAAUUUUUAUGAAGAGCUUAUCAUCACACGUACCAGUUAACAUUAUCACCCAAGAUCAAGAAUGGGGACUCCAUGAAAGAUGUAACUUCGAAAGGAAA
Long non-coding RNA from Juglans microcarpa x Juglans regia, 197 nucleotides. RefSeq lists it as uncharacterized. The transcript has 2 exons. The record is from RefSeq and is a predicted model, not a curated record. Lineage: Eukaryota; Viridiplantae; Streptophyta; Magnoliopsida; Fagales; Juglandaceae.